This 74-nucleotide transfer RNA is filed under the name Ipomoea nil (Japanese morning glory). It matches the Rfam family "tRNA". Rfam says of the family: Transfer RNA (tRNA) molecules are approximately 80 nucleotides in length. Their secondary structure includes four short double-helical elements and three loops (D, anti-codon, and T loops). Lineage: Eukaryota; Viridiplantae; Streptophyta; Magnoliopsida; Solanales; Convolvulaceae. The record is from Rfam by way of RNAcentral.
GCUGGAAUAGCUUAGUUGGUUAAAACGUGUGGCUGUUAACCACAAGGUUGGAGGUUCAAGCCCUCCUUCUAGCG